RNAcentral lists this ribosomal RNA (499 nucleotides) under uncultured bacterium. RNAcentral's name for it is "partial 16S ribosomal RNA". It matches the Rfam family "Bacterial small subunit ribosomal RNA", at positions 28 to 507 of the family's 1533-position model. The record is from RNAcentral.
GACGAACGCUGGCGGCGUGCUUAACACAUGCAAGUCGAACGGGCCCGCCCCUGUUUUUGGGGGUGGGUUGAGUGGCGAACGGGUGAGUAUCACGUGAGUAACCUGCUCCCUGCUCCUGGAUAACUGCUUGAAAGGGCGGCUAAUACGGGGUGUGCCGGCUGGUCCGCAUGGGCCUGGUCGGGAUAGUUUCAUCUUCGGGUGUUUCGGUGGGGGAUGGGCUCGCGGCCUAUCAGCUUGUUGGUGGGGUGAUGGCCCACCAAGGCGGUGACGGGUAGCCGGCCUGAGAGGGUGGGCGGCCACACUGGGACUGAGACACGGCCCAGACUCCUGCGGGAGGCAGCAGUGGGGGGUAUUGCACAAUGGGCGGAAGCCUGAUGCAGCGACGUCGCGUGAGGGAUGGAGGCCUUCGGGUUGUGAACCUCUUUCUCCGGUGGUGAAGGCCCUGUCCGUUGCGGCGGGGUUGACGGUAGCCGGGUAUGAAGCGCCGGCUAACUACGUG